Molecule: ribosomal RNA, 468 nt
Filed under: uncultured bacterium
Lineage: Bacteria
Description: partial 16S ribosomal RNA
Rfam family: Bacterial small subunit ribosomal RNA
Source: RNAcentral
GACGAACGCUGGCGGCGUGCUUAACACAUGCAAGUCGAACGGAAAUGCCCUGCUUUUGUGGGGUGCUCCAGUGGCGAACGGGUGAGUAACACGUGAGUAACCUGCCCUUGACUUUGGGAUAACUUCAGGAAACUGGGUCUAAUACCGGAUAGGAGCUCCUGCUGCAUGGUGGGGGUUUGAAAGUUUCGUCGGUUUGGGAUGGACUCGCGGCUUAUCAGCUUGUUGGUGGGGUAGUGGCUUACCAAGGCUUUGACGGGUAGCCGGCCUGAGAGGGUGACCGGACAAACUGGGAAUGAGAAAAGGCACAGACUCCUACGGGAGGCAGCAGGGGGGAAUAUUGCAGAAUGGGAGGAAGCCUGAUGAAGCGAAGCCGGGUGCGGGAUAACGGCCUUAGGGUUUGAAACCGCUUUCGGCAGGGAAGAAGCGAAAGUGACGGUAAUGGGUAAAGAAGCACCGGCUAACUACGUG